AUCAUGGCUCAGAACGAACGCUGGCGGCAUGCCUAACACAUGCAAGUCGAACGAAGCCUUCGGGCUUAGUGGCGCACGGGUGCGUAACACGUGGGAAUCUGCCCUUCGGUUCGGAAUAACAGUUAGAAAUGACUGCUAAUACCGGAUGAUGACGUAAGUCCAAAGAUUUAUCGCCGAAGGAUGAGCCCGCGUAGGAUUAGGUAGUUGGUAGGGUAAUGGCCUACCAAGCCGACGAUCCUUAGCUGGUCUGAGAGGAUGAUCAGCCACACUGGGACUGAGACACGGCCCAGACUCCUACGGGAGGCAGCAGUGGGGAAUAUUGGACAAUGGGCGAAAGCCUGAUCCAGCAAUGCCGCGUGAGUGAUGAAGGCCUUAGGGUUGUAAAGCUCUUUACCAGGGAUGAUAAUGACAGUACCUGGAGAAUAAGCUCCGGCUAACUCCGUG
Molecule: ribosomal RNA, 444 nt
Filed under: uncultured bacterium
Lineage: Bacteria
Description: bacterial SSU rRNA
Rfam family: Bacterial small subunit ribosomal RNA
Source: RNAcentral